Molecule: long non-coding RNA, 271 nt
Filed under: Gallus gallus (chicken)
Lineage: Eukaryota; Metazoa; Chordata; Aves; Galliformes; Phasianidae
Source: RNAcentral
GAGAAAAUAAGCAAAGCACUGGAUAACAUUAAUGUGUUUCUGGCAAUCUUUACUGGAAUAGCAGAUGAAUACUUUUGGCCGGGGGCGAAGUCUUUCCACAGGGAGACCUGCACCAUAAGCUGAAGAUUCUGAGCUCUCCUCGUCUAGAUGGGAAUAUAUAUUCUCUUGCUGCUUUUUGCGGCACAUCACUGUGAAAAGUGUUGCAAAUGCCGAAAUGACAACUAAAGGGACUGUAAUGGCAAUAGCUCUUAUUGGUCCAGCCCACGGAGAA